RNAcentral lists this ribosomal RNA (253 nucleotides) under uncultured bacterium. RNAcentral describes it as "partial 16S ribosomal RNA". It matches the Rfam family "Bacterial small subunit ribosomal RNA", at positions 524 to 776 of the family's 1533-position model. The record is from RNAcentral.
UACGUAGGGUGCAAGCGUUGUCCGGAAUUAUUGGGCGUAAAGGGCUCGUAGGCGGUUUGUCGCGUCGGCUGUGAAAACUCGGGGCUCAACCCCGAGCCUGCAGUCGAUACGGGCAGACUAGAGUGCGGUAGGGGAGACUGGAAUUCCUGGUGUAGCGGUGAAAUGCGCAGAUAUCAGGAGGAACACCUGCGGCGAAGGCGGGUUGCUGGGCUGAUACUGACGCUGAGGCGCGAAAGCUAGGGGAGCGAACGGG